AUUGAACGCUGGCGGCAUGCCUAACACAUGCAAGUCGAGCGGAGCGGCGGACGGGUGAGUAAUGCCUAGGAAUCUGCCUGGUAGUGGGGGAUAACGUCCGGAAACGGGCGCUAAUACCGCAUACUAUCAGAUGAGCCUAGGUCGGAUUAGCUAGUUGGUGGGGUAAAGGCUUACCAAGGCGGCGAGCCGUAACGGGUCUGAGAGGAUGAUCAGUCACACGGGAACUGAGACACGGUCCAGACUCCUACGGGAGGCAGCAGUGGGGAAGAUUGGACAAUGGGCGAAAGCCUGAUCGAGCCAUGCCGCGUGAGUGAAGAAGGUCUUCGGAUUGUAAAGCACUUUAAGUUGGGAGGCGUUACCAACAGAAUAAGCACCGGCUAACUUCGUGCCAGCCGCCGCGGUAAUUC
Molecule: ribosomal RNA, 407 nt
Filed under: uncultured bacterium
Lineage: Bacteria
Description: partial 16S ribosomal RNA
Rfam family: Bacterial small subunit ribosomal RNA
Source: RNAcentral